Molecule: long non-coding RNA, 512 nt
Organism: Tupaia belangeri chinensis (Chinese tree shrew)
Lineage: Eukaryota; Metazoa; Chordata; Mammalia; Scandentia; Tupaiidae
Exons: 3
Source: RefSeq, a predicted model, not a curated record
GGUGCCAACAGGGCAUAAAGGUGUGUCCACAGCCCGUGAAGUGCAGGUGACAAGAAUCAGAGGGAAAUGCCAGAGAGGUACUUAUUAAGCAGGGAUGGUAGACCAGCCAUUGUCUAAGCACUGAAUAUGCACCUCCAAGCAGACGUGGACCCUGCCUGUAAACCAAUAGCCAGGCCUAGCAGGGCCACAAAGCAGCAAGCGACUGAGGACUUGCUCAAGGGUGGCUGGUGCCGCUGAUUCCUGAAGGACAGACGAGAAUUUGCCAAGAGCAUGAGGCUGCGAAGGGCAUUCAGGCAGCGGGACAGCAGGAGCAAGGCUCAGAAGCAGAGGACUUCGUGAAACAGCAGAUCACUCACCUGGGCAAACCUGCUGACUAUGACUGGCUACUCACUCAUCCUUACCUGCUCAAAACCUUGGCUUGGUGUGGCCACAGUCCUGAACCAUUUUAUCAUAAAAGGCUGAUCCCAAUCGAGACCCUCACGUUAUAGGAUUCACCUUCAACCUGUCCUAAA